This is a long non-coding RNA of Frieseomelitta varia, 277 nucleotides long. RefSeq lists it as uncharacterized. The transcript has 2 exons. Lineage: Eukaryota; Metazoa; Arthropoda; Insecta; Hymenoptera; Apidae. The record is from RefSeq and is a predicted model, not a curated record.
UACAAUUUUUAUUCAAUCUCGCAGUACGAGGAAUUUUCACGGAGCACAUGUCGAAGAAAAUUCCGAACCCUGUCACAGCUGCAAGAGUGAAGAGAGAUGUAAUUUAAAAGUUCUGAAUAGAAUUCCUGAGUUUGAAAAUCCUGAAUUAACGCUGACGUAGUCAAACAACACACCUGCCAUUCGUGACUCUCAAAUAAUCAUUGAUUGAAGGCCUAGCCAAUGGAUCUAUUCAUUGCGGAGAAAAAGCAUUGUAGUUUGAAUAAAUCUACUCUGCAAU